This is a long non-coding RNA of Tupaia belangeri chinensis (Chinese tree shrew), 170 nucleotides long. RefSeq lists it as uncharacterized. NCBI's taxonomy places the organism in Eukaryota, Metazoa, Chordata, Mammalia, Scandentia, Tupaiidae. The transcript is spliced from 3 exons. The record is from RefSeq and is a predicted model, not a curated record.
UGGUGAUACCCCCCGGACUGAGCGAGGAGGAGGAGGCUCUGCAGAAGAAAUUCAACAAACUGAAAAAAAAGAAAAAGGCAUUGCUGGCUCUGAAGAAGCAAAGCAGCAGCAGCACAGCCAGCCAGGGCGGUGUCAAACGCUCACUCUCUGAGCAGCCUGUGGUGGCCACG